CUAAAGGUACCAACACAAGGGAUGCGUACAUCGGCCUCACGGCCUACCACAGGUGAUUAUGGGGUCAUGGACAAAGGAUGCCACUUCAGAGGACUAUAGGGAAUGAAGCUCCACCCUGCUUCACACUGACACAGUUAUAUACGUUCACACUCCUGGGAGCUAAAGGAGUCUUCAACUAUCGCUACUGAGGAGCUCCAACCGAGGGGUAAAUGCACUUUCACAACCAAAAUGUUGCGACUGAACCGGCAGGCGCACGGUCAUGAACCUGCUUCUCUAACUGCUUGUCUCCUGCCACACCUCUGGGGUUCAGAGGGUCUUUUUCGGGUGGAUCUCUACUGUUAACCCCUGCGGUUCAGCUCCCGAAAAAAAUUGAAAAAGGGAAGAUGAAAGGGAUAAAGGGGAUAAGGAAACUCACUGCAGAGAACACAACAACAGACUUCUGGGAAAAGAGAUGAGGUUGGAGAGGACAGAAGAAACAGAAGGAAAAGAGUGGAAACCAC
Molecule: long non-coding RNA, 500 nt
Organism: Micropterus dolomieu (smallmouth bass)
Lineage: Eukaryota; Metazoa; Chordata; Actinopteri; Centrarchiformes; Centrarchidae
Exons: 3
Source: RefSeq, a predicted model, not a curated record